RNAcentral lists this unclassified non-coding RNA (208 nucleotides) under uncultured Mucor. Its description in RNAcentral is "sequence contains ITS1". Lineage: Eukaryota; Fungi; Mucoromycota; Mucoromycetes; Mucorales; Mucoraceae. The record is from RNAcentral.
AAUAAUCAAUAAUCUUGGCUUGUCCAUUAUUAUCUAUUUACUGUGAACUGUAUUAUUAUUUGACAUUUGAGGGAUGUUCCAAUGUUAUAAGGAUAGACAUUGGAAAUGUUAACCGAGUCAUAAUCAGGUUUAGGCCUGGUAUCCUAUUAUUAUUUACCAAAUGAAUUCAGAAUUAAUAUUGUAACAUAGACCUAAAAAAUCUAUAAAA